UCCUUAGAUGUUCUGGGCCGCACGCGCGCUACACUGAUGCAUUCAACGAGUUUCUUCCUGGUCCGAGAGGAAUGGGUAACCUUUUGAAAGUGCAUCGUGAUAGGGAUAGACUAUUGCAAUUAUUGGUCUUCAACGAGGAAUUCCUAGUAGACGUAGUUCAUCAGACUGCAUCGAUUACGUCCCUGCCCUUUGUACACACCGCCCGUCGCUCCUACCGAUUGGGUGUGCUGGUGAAAUGUUCGGAUCGGCCGUUUGUCGCGGUUUCCGCGUCAUGUGGCUGAGAAGUUCAUUAAACCCUCCCACCUAGAGGAAGGAGAAGUCGUAACA
This 327-nucleotide ribosomal RNA is filed under the name uncultured eukaryote. RNAcentral describes it as "partial 18S ribosomal RNA". It matches the Rfam family "Eukaryotic small subunit ribosomal RNA", at positions 1470 to 1796 of the family's 1831-position model. The record is from RNAcentral.